Cervus elaphus (red deer) is the source of this 1339-nucleotide long non-coding RNA. RefSeq lists it as uncharacterized. The record is from RefSeq and is a predicted model, not a curated record. The transcript has 4 exons. Lineage: Eukaryota; Metazoa; Chordata; Mammalia; Artiodactyla; Cervidae.
UCUUCACAGAGCUGAGAAAGCUUGCUAGGGGUAGUGUCAUUGCACCCGAAUCCUUGGGCACGUUGUGGCCAUCAGAAGCCGUGCAGAGACUCCAGAUGGCGGGAGAUACAUUUCCCAAAGCUUCUUUAGUGCAGGAGUCUCUGAGGGCACUGACGGGCCUCUCUCUUGACUGGAACUUGGAAGGAAAAAGUGUAAAUGAGCACUGGGUUGCCUCAGAACCCCAGGAAAGGACUAGAAGGUGUGAGACAUCUGUGUCCUUAGCACAUGAAAGGUGCUUCCACUGCAUCUCCUUGAAGGCGGAUGUCAUCUGGUAAGCUCACACGGCUGCCGAAAGAAGUGUGGUGGGUCCUGCGGCUCCACCCUCAAACCAGUGGACCGGCCAGAACAAACUUUCCUGGAAUAUUGAGCUGCCUUGGAGAACAGAUGGUUUCUCCAGAAGUUAGAGAUACUUAACUCUGAGCAGCCUUAUCAGAAUCUGAAACCCCUGCCAGAUGGAAGAAGUGAACUAUGCCACCCACAAGCAGGAAGACCUGAGACCGGCUGGAACCACAAGGGUGAUGCUGCUGCUGCCCGAGACCUCAUCACAGACCCAACGGAAGAGCAUCCUCGCGUUGAUCAGGGUCUGCUCCUUGAACACCAUAAGACUCCUCAGACCCCUCCAGGACCAGACACACAGACUUUUAUUUAUGUUAAUAUUUUAUUGAUCUAUUUAUUUGGCUGCCUUGGUUCUGAUUUGCAGGUGCGGGAUAGUCCCUCCCUCUGGUGGGAUCUUGCUUGUAGCGCAGAGACUCACCAGCUGUGGGGCAAGGGCUCAGCUGCUCCUGGGCUGUGAGAUCUUAGAUUCCCCACCAGGGAUCGAACCCAGGUCCGCUGCAUUUCAAGAUGGACUCUAAGCCACUGGACGACUGGAAGUCCCAGGACACAGUCUUGAGGGCAUUAGCCUGCUUGGUCCCCCGUGUGUGUCAAAGCAGUAAAGCUAGUUUUUCCAUUUCUCUUAAAACUGUCUCUCUCAGAUGUAAUCUGGCCCCAGGACACAGAGGCCCAAUUUUGGCAAGGAGAUCUGGAGAGAAGCCAGGAGCCAUUGGAAGAACAGGGUCCUGGGGGCAGGAGGGCUGAGGGACCUGAGUCUCACUGGGGUGGAAGGCUGCGAGGGGCCAAAUGGGGCUUCAGGAGGGGAGCCCGGAGGUGGUGUCCUGCGGGCAGCAGGCUCAGCGCUGCGGCGCAGACCCGGGGCUGCGGAGGCAGACUCCCGAUCUCAGCAGAUCGGCCACAGGAGCCGGGGCGGCCCUGAGAGGGGUCGGGGCGCACAGGGCCCGGGCGCCAGUCAUCCAGGGACAGA